RNAcentral lists this ribosomal RNA (468 nucleotides) under uncultured bacterium. RNAcentral describes it as "partial 16S ribosomal RNA". It matches the Rfam family "Bacterial small subunit ribosomal RNA", at positions 28 to 507 of the family's 1533-position model. The record is from RNAcentral.
GACGAACGCUGGCGGCGUGCUUAACACAUGCAAGUCGAACGGAAAGGCCCUGCUUUUGUGGGGUGCUCGAGUGGCGAACGGGUGAGUAACACGUGAGUAACCUGCCCUUGACUUUGGGAUAACUUCAGGAAACUGGGGCUAAUACCGGAUAGGAGCUCCUGCUGCAUGGUGGGGGUUGGAAAGUUUCGGCGGUUGGGGAUGGACUCGCGGCUUAUCAGCUUGUUGGUGGGGUAGUGGCUUACCAAGGCUUUGACGGGUAGCCGGCCUGAGAGGGUGACCGGCCACAUUGGGACUGAGAUACGGCGCAGACUCCUACGGGAGGCAGCAGUGGGGAAUAUUGCACAAUGGGCGGAAGCCUGAUGCAGCACCGCCGCGUGCGGGAUGACGGCCUUCGGGUUGUAAACCGCUUUCGCCUGUGACGAAGCGUGAGUGACGGUAAUGGGUAAAGAAGCACCGGCUAACUACGUG